RNAcentral lists this ribosomal RNA (1101 nucleotides) under uncultured bacterium. Its description in RNAcentral is "bacterial SSU rRNA". It matches the Rfam family "Bacterial small subunit ribosomal RNA", at positions 1 to 1104 of the family's 1533-position model. The record is from RNAcentral.
GGAUCCAGACUUUGAUCAUGGCUCAGGACGAACGCUGGCGGCGUGCUUAACACAUGCAAGUCGAACGGUGAAGAGGAGCUUGCUCCUUGGAUCAGUGGCGAACGGGUGAGUAACACGUGAGCAAUCUGCCCUUGACUCUGAGAUAACUGCGGGAAACUGUAGCUAAUACCGGAUAUUACCUUGGAAGGCAUCUUCUGGGGUGGAAAGAAUUUUGGUCAAGGAUGAGCUCGCGGCCUAUCAGCUAGUUGGUGAGGUAAUGGCUCACCAAGGCGACGACGGGUAGCCGGCCUGAGAGGGUGACCGGCCACACUGGGACUGAGACACGGCCCAGACUCCUACGGGAGGCAGCAGUGGGGAAUAUUGCACAAUGGGCGCAAGCCUGAUGCAGCAACGCCGCGUGAGGGACGACGGCCUUCGGGUUGUAAACCUCUUUUAGUAGGGAAGAAGCGACUGGGUUUUCCUGGGAGUGACGGUACCUGCAGAAAAAGCACCGGCUAACUACGUGCCAGCAGCCGCGGUAAUACGUAGGGUGCAAGCGUUGUCCGGAAUUAUUGGGCGUAAAGAGCUCGUAGGCGGUUUGUCGCGUCUGCUGUGAAAACCCGAGGCUCAACCUCGGGCCUGCAGUGGGUACGGGCAGACUAGAGUGCGGUAGGGGAGAUUGGAAUUCCUGGUGUAGCGGUGGAAUGCGCAGAUAUCAGGAGGAACACCAAUGGCGAAGGCAGAUCUCUGGGCCGUAACUGACGCUGAGGAGCGAAAGCAUGGGGAGCGAACAGGAUUAGAUACCCUGGUAGUCCAUGCCGUAAACGUUGGGAACUAGAUGUGGGGACCAUUCCACGGUCUCCGUGUCGCAGCUAACGCAUUAAGUUCCCCGCCUGGGGAGUACGGCCGCAAGGCUAAAACUCAAAGGAAUUGACGGGGGCCCGCACAAGCGGCGGAGCAUGCGGAUUAAUUCGAUGCAACGCGAAGAACCUUACCAAGGCUUGACAUAUACCGGAAACCUGCAGAAAUGUAGGCCCCGCAAGGUCGGUAUACAGGUGGUGCAUGGUUGUCGUCAGCUCGUGUCGUGAGAUGUUGGGUUAAGUCCCGCAACGAGCGCAACCC